RNAcentral lists this ribosomal RNA (253 nucleotides) under uncultured bacterium. RNAcentral's name for it is "partial 16S ribosomal RNA". It matches the Rfam family "Bacterial small subunit ribosomal RNA", at positions 524 to 776 of the family's 1533-position model. The record is from RNAcentral.
UACAGAGACUGCAAGCGUUAUUCGGAUUCACUGGGCGUAAAGGGUGCGCAGGCGGCCAAGUGUGUUAGGCGUGAAAGCCUGGGGCUUAACCUCAGAAUUGCACCUAAAACUACAUGGCUAGAGCAUUGGAAAGGGUAGCGGAAUUCACGGUGUAGCAGUGAAAUGCGUAGAUAUCGUGAGGAACACCAGAGGCGAAGGCGGCUACCUGGACAAUUGCUGACGCUCAGGCGCGAAAGCGUGGGGAGCAAAAGGG